AGCAGUGGACGUGAUGUACAAUGCCAAACAUGCAACAUCAUUAAACACAGUAUAAGGAGUCAGACUGGCAUAUGAGGAGCAAAGGUAUGUAACACAUAUGAUGUAUUUAGCUAGUGAUACCACUACCAGUCUUAAAUGUAUAACUGAUGAUGACAAAGUUUUUUUUCUCUCCAUAAUCAUAGGAACCCAGGCAGUAGCAUCGUUUCACAAUGUUUCCAUCACCAUCAUCAGUGGAUGCCUUUGCCGUCCGUAGCCUGAGAUUUCAGAUUUGCAGCAAAAAAUUAGAUUUUCCCAUUUAUUGGAAUGCUGUGCAGGUCGUACCUUGCAGCCAUCCAUUACAAUGUCACCAAGCCGUAAACAAAAGCAGGAGAGGGAAAGUACAAGGCUAUGUUCCCAAAACACACAAGUGACAUACUUUAUGUGGAUGAUGUGAUCAGGCUUGUGUUUGAUGAGGUAUUUGAAGAUAAGCUGAAGGAAACCCUGAUUCCAAUGGACCUGGCAUCACAGUUUGAGAGACCUUCAAAGGAGGAUUGCAUGCCAUCUUCAGUGUAGGGGUCGUCUGAAGCCAACAUACUGACCAGUCAGAUCAGGAAGCUCCAAGCCUAUCUGGAGAACAACACACGACAGGAUGAUAACCCUAUAGUGUCGUCUUAAAUAGCACCAGCUGACAAAGCUUUGAUAUGCCAUUUAUCUGUAUAGAAUAGAUAGCUGUAAGAAGUGAAUUGAACAAUUUUUGAAAGUAGAGCACAAUAUGGUUACUAAAGUAUGUUUAUUUGUAUAUUGUUUAACAUUUAAAUAUAUAUUUGUAAUAAAUAAAAAAACUUUUGACUGAGUACUAUAUUUUCUUAGCCUGGUAAUACCAUCCUCUGCUAUUUUGCUUCGCUUCAUAGACAGAGUCUGGCUGGGCAUAAUUGACAAUCGUUUUCCUUCUCGUGGGAGGGGCUUGUCUGAAGUUUAAAAUCAUUGGUCUAAACGUAAGCCAAUCACACAUAACAUUUGGAUAUGAUGUGCUUUAUGCGCCGGAUCAGCCGCAUCGAAUCUCUGCUGUAAAAUACACGUAUGAUGUGAAAACAAACCCCAUCGAGCGAAAUACCAGAGUUAACAUGGCUAUGAACGACUUUUGCAGAUUAUGUAAAGUAAAUCGGGCCAGAGCUAGUUGAACACUAUCCUUACGGUGGCUUUCCACUCACGUCUAACGGGAGGAAAGCCCCUCUCUCCUCUCAAACUCUUCCACCAGACAACCAUAAC
Molecule: non-coding RNA, 1248 nt
Organism: Misgurnus anguillicaudatus (oriental weatherfish)
Lineage: Eukaryota; Metazoa; Chordata; Actinopteri; Cypriniformes; Cobitidae
Source: RefSeq, a predicted model, not a curated record